Molecule: unclassified non-coding RNA, 334 nt
Filed under: soil metagenome
Description: partial contains 5.8S ribosomal RNA, internal transcribed spacer 2, and large subunit ribosomal RNA
Rfam family: 5.8S ribosomal RNA (bases 1-120)
Source: RNAcentral
GAUGAAGAACGUAGUGAAAUGCGAUAAGUAAUGUGAAUUGCAGAAUUCAGUGAAUCAUCGAAUCUUUGAACGCACAUUGCGCCCGCCAGUAUUCUGGCGAGCAUGCCUGUUCGAGCGUCAUUUCAACCAUCAAGCCCCAGGCUUGUGUUGGAGCCCUGCGGCUGCCGCAGCCUCCCAAAACCAGUGGCGGGCUCGCUAUCACACCGAGUGCAGUAGUUUACUCUUCGCUCAGGGCGUGUGGCGGGUGCUAGCCGUGAAACCCCCAACUUCUCAAGGUUGACCUCGGAUCAGGUAGGAAUACCCGCUGAACUUAAGCAUAUCAAUAAGCGGAGGA